Long non-coding RNA from Tigriopus californicus, 518 nucleotides. RefSeq lists it as uncharacterized. Lineage: Eukaryota; Metazoa; Arthropoda; Copepoda; Harpacticoida; Harpacticidae. The transcript has 3 exons. The record is from RefSeq and is a predicted model, not a curated record.
UUUUCAAAGCUACGUCUUAAACACAUUUAUGACUCAUUGAUGAACUCCGAUAAAAAAAUGUUCAUUGUAUGUCGAGCUGAGAUUCGCAAGGGUUGCACUAACCGGUUUUCUUCCCAAAGCCUCGGUUCAGCUCCUAAUUCGCCCAUCCGAACCGCCAAACUUCUGCAAUUUCUGCUCGACGUCAACACAACAAUUUUUGUCGGAGUCUAAUAGCAAUAAUCAUUAAUCACAUCUCAACUCACCUCGAAACAUCUCCCUCGAACAUGGGAUCCUGACAAUCUCGGAGUAAGCUGGAUUUAGAGGAUCAUUGGACAAGGAAGGUCGAAAUCAUGGUUCCUUGCAGGGCUCCCUCUCAGUCAAGAGUGUGUGUGUUUACAUCAGUUGCAAUUUGGAUUGAACAUAAUUUUCAAUGCGAGGUGGUCGAAAAUGCGUCUUCUGACAUGCUCUACCUGUUGUUUGAUUAUGUUGAUAUUAGUGAAGUUGAAUCGAAUGCCAAAGGGUGUGGCACUGUAAAGGGC